UGGGGGAUAUUGCACAAUGGGGGAAACCCUGAUGCAGCGACGCCGCGUGAGGGAAGACGGUUUUCGGAUUGUAAACCUCUGUCUUUAGGGACGAAAAAAAUGACGGUACCUAAAGAGGAAGCCACGGCUAACUACGUGCC
Molecule: ribosomal RNA, 140 nt
Filed under: uncultured bacterium
Lineage: Bacteria
Description: partial 16S ribosomal RNA
Rfam family: Bacterial small subunit ribosomal RNA
Source: RNAcentral